Molecule: RNA transcript, 4733 nt
Organism: Trichechus manatus latirostris (Florida manatee)
Lineage: Eukaryota; Metazoa; Chordata; Mammalia; Sirenia; Trichechidae
Gene: NVL
Gene name: nuclear VCP like
Exons: 24
Source: RefSeq, a predicted model, not a curated record
GAACUGGAGGUUGGAGCUGUGGCUUCGGAGCCAAACGCGAUGAAACCGGUAUCCGCAGGGUUCGUGGACAGUAAGCUAAAGCGACGAGUCAUUCAGUAUCUUAACAGUAACAGAUGUGGCAAAUAUGUGGACACUGGAUUCUUAGCAUCUGAUUUGCAAAGAAUGUACAGUGUAGACUAUGGUCGAAGAAAAAAAAAUGCUUUCAGGAUUCAGGUAGAAAAAGUGUUUAACAUAAUUAGUACUGAGAAGAAACUUAAGGAUCUAACAGAAUUAGAAGGUGAAAAUCUAGCAAAAAGAUCAAGACAAGGUGAAGAGGAUAAUGAGUAUACUGAAAGCAGUUCUGAUGAUGAUUCAGAUAUGGAAGAUUACCCAGAUCCACAGUCAGCCAAUCACAUGAACAGUUCCCUGCUCUCCUUGUAUCGGAAAGGAAAUGCUGAUUCUGUUCCAAAUACUUCCAAGAUGGAGCAAAGAGAAACCACCACUUCAGCACCGCGGCUAACUUCCAAAACAGGCUCCGUUCCUUUGAAGACCUCUGCUACAGUUUCUGAAGGAGGAUGGUUUAUUGACAAAACCCCAGGUGGAACGAAAGAUUGUUUUUUCUUGGACCUAUCAGAUGAGACAAGUAAUCAUGAGAAGCCAGUAUCUGAGAUACAGGAUUCCAAAGAUUCUUCUCUUCUGGAGAGUGAUAAAAAACCAAAAGGCAGGCUAAAGAGCAAAGGAAGCAAAAGGAAGAAAGACCAUCUUCAGGAAGUGGAUGGAGAAAUAGAAGCUGUCUUGCAAAAGAAAGCUAAAGCCAGGGGGCUAGAAUUGCAAAUCUCCAAUGUGAAGUUUGAAGAUGUUGGGGGCAAUGAUAUGACACUAAAGGAAGUCUGCAAGAUGCUCAUACACAUGCGUCACCCGGAGGUGUACCAGCACCUGGGCGUCGUCCCCCCUCGAGGAGUUCUCCUUCACGGGCCCCCAGGCUGUGGGAAGACAUUACUUGCUCAAGCAAUUGCUGGGGAACUUGACCUGCCAAUUUUGAAAGUCGCUGCUACAGAGAUUGUGUCUGGAGUGUCUGGAGAAUCUGAACAGAAGCUGAGAGAACUAUUCGAACAAGCAGUGUCAAGUGCACCAUGCAUCCUUUUUAUUGAUGAAAUUGAUGCUAUUACCCCCAAAAGAGAAGUUGCUUCAAAAGAUAUGGAACGAAGAAUUGUAGCCCAGCUCCUUACCUGCAUGGAUGAUCUGAACAACGUGGCCACUACAGCUCGAGUCCUAGUCAUUGGCGCUACUAACCGACCAGACUCGUUAGACCCUGCUUUGAGACGCGCAGGAAGGUUUGACCGAGAAAUAUGCCUGGGUAUCCCAGAUGAAGCAUCCAGGGAAAGAAUACUUCAGACCUUAUGCAGGAAGCUAAAACUUCCUGAAGCUUUUCAUUUUCAUCACUUAGCACACCUCACACCAGGCUUUGUUGGUGCUGACCUGAUGGCGCUCUGCCGAGAGGCAGCCAUGUGUGCAGUCAACAGGGUCUUGAUGAAGCUACAGGAGCAGCAGAAGAAAAGUCCUGAGAUUGAAGGUUGGCCUGCUGCAGGAUGCCAGGAAGAAAGGAUAGGAACUGAGCAUGUUUCCAAAACACAGGUGCAUUCUAUAAAGGAUGAAUUGCAAAGAUUGCUGGGGUUGCUGAGAGACCAAGAGCCCCUCUCGGAAGAACAGCUGCAAGGGCUGUGCAUUGAAUUGAAUGAUUUCAUUGUUGCUCUAGCCUCAGUACAACCCUCUGCCAAAAGGGAAGGCUUUGUCACUGUCCCCAAUGUCACAUGGGCAGAUAUUGGUGCCCUGGAAGAUAUUAGAGAGGAGCUCACCAUGGCAAUAUUGGCACCAGUACGUAACCCAGAUCAGUUCAAAGCUCUCGGAUUAGUGACUCCAGCUGGUGUCCUUCUUGCUGGUCCUCCUGGCUGUGGUAAAACUCUCCUGGCAAAGGCCGUGGCAAAUGAGUCUGGACUAAACUUCAUAUCUGUAAAGGGUCCUGAAUUACUAAACAUGUACGUUGGCGAGAGUGAACGCGCUGUGCGCCAGGUUUUUCAGCGAGCCAAGAACUCAGCACCCUGUGUGAUAUUCUUCGAUGAAGUGGAUGCCUUAUGCCCUCGAAGAUCAGACCGAGAGGCAGGGGCAAGCGUCCGAGUGGUGAAUCAGCUGCUUACGGAGAUGGAUGGUCUGGAAACACGACAGCAGGUCUUUAUUAUGGCGGCCACUAACAGGCCAGAUAUCAUUGACCCUGCAAUCCUGCGCCCAGGCCGGCUAGACAAAACACUCUUUGUUGGUUUACCACCUGCAGCUGAUCGUCUUGCCAUCUUAAAAACUAUCACAAAAAAUGGUACCAAACCCCCACUGGAUGCAGAUGUAAAUUUGGAAGCAAUUGCUGGUGACCUCCGCUGUGAUUGCUAUACGGGCGCAGAUCUCUCGGCGUUGGUGCGGGAAGCUUCUCUCUGUGCCCUGAGACAGGAAAUGGCAAGACAGAAGAAUGGAAAUGAAAAAGGUGAACUCAAGAUUAGUCUUAAACACUUUGAAGAAGCUUUUAAGAAAGUAAAACCAUCUAUAUCAAAAAAGGAUCAAGUGAUGUAUGAAGCUCUGCAGCAGUCUCUCCGCUGAUGACGUCUCCAACGCAUCGUGCUGGUGGAGGAGCCAGCACACUCAGGUUCCAGCUUGCAGCAUAGCACAGAUGUGAUUUCAUGGAGGCAUUUUAUUUUCAAGUUAGUGAGACCAAGCUCAAACUGAAGAUUCUUCCUGUCUGGCCAGCCUUGCAUGGAAACACCCUACCUCCUUUUUAAGAAAAAGAAAAAUUCAGCAACUGCUGAAAUAAAAUAACUGAAAGUUUUUCUAAAUAAAAUUUUUAUUUUGAAACAUUUUCAGCUGUACAGAGAAGUUGCACGUACAUUACAAAGUGCUGUUUUUCCUGAACCAUCUGAGGCUAGAAUCUGAUAAAGUGACGAUGAACCAGCUUAGACCACGUAAAUGGGGACAACAUCUUGGGACAGCAGAGCAGCAGAACCUCCUUACCCCUCGGACUGUCAACUGGCUUGGACUUUGUGUGCGACUUUUUAUCUUGCUUAAGCCCUUUAUAUUUUGGUCUCUCCUAAAGCAGCCAAACUAAUAUCCUCACUCAUACAGCAUUCAGACUAGUAAAGAGACAAUUACAAAAGUGUGGGAAGGGCUGUGAAGAGACAAGAAUCGAUGCUGUAAAGCAGCAGCAGAAGAGAGACAACUGGUCCGUGCUUGGGUUCAGGGAAAGUUCUCCAGAGAAGGGGAUGUUUCCGCUGAGUCCUGAAGGCUGAGAAGAAAAUGAGAGUAAACGAUCUGAGCAGAGAAAACAGACAUGAGAUGAAAGGAAGGGACUGGUGUGUUUGGGAACCGAGAACAGGCGGCCUCUUAACUUUUGUACAUAGGUUAUUGCUGAAAAUGGGUGAAAGUAGUAUUCACAGGAUAAUCUUCCAAAAACUGAACCCAUCACGUUUUAGAGACAGUCUUCAGUCAUUGAUAGGUAUCUCUUACUAUUCAAACUCUUGCUGUCCCAACUCAGGAACUGGAUAGAUUCAGAUACAUUUGUAGGAUAAAUCCUUCCCCAUUCAAAUUUGAGGAGCCCUGGUGCCACAGUAGUUAAAGCAAUUGGCAGCUAACCAAAAAGGUCGGCAGUUUGAAACCACCUAUGGCUCCGUGGGAGAAAGAUGUGGCAGUCUGCUUCCAUAGAGAUUUACAGCCUUGGAAACCCUCAGGGGUUGCUAUGAGUCUGAAUCGACUCGAUGGCAGUGGGUUUGGUUUUUUUGUAUUCAAAAUUUAUACUACUCACAAGCCAAAGCUAAGAAGCUAAACAGAUUUGGGAUAAGGUGGUCUCUGCUGGAAUCGGCUCAAAAGCAACUAACAACAACACUUAUUAGUGUCAGCAUUUGCUUUUUCAUUUUCAAUGUGUUUUUUACAAAAUAAUCACAAACAGAAAUAUUCAGCUAAGUAUGCAGACAUUGCCAUUGUCUGACCACUGCCUUCGGUCUUCUGCUAAAUUCCGUGAGGGCAGGCACCCUGUCAGUCUUGUUUCCUCAGCAGCCAGGUGGGGGGCAUUUAAUAUUGUGUUAGAUGAAUUAACUGUUUUUAGACAACAAAGCUGUCAAAAUUAGACUGCUGUCUGGCAGGCAGUCCCUGCAUGUGAGAAUCUGAAAUGUUCGUUUACCAGGAAUAGAAGUCUGAUUCUGUUAUAUGAAAAAUGACAAAAGGGACUUGUGAAUAGCCUAUCACCCAGCGAUUCCACUCCUACUCUGUGUUCAACAGAAAUGCAUACGUGUGUUUACCAAGACAGCAGCACAAUCAUAACACCAAAACUGGAGACAGUCCAAACAUCCGUCAAGGGUAGAACGGAUCACUGUGGUAAUUUCAUACACUGGAAUGCUACCGUAACCAAUGGACUAUUUGCAACAACGCAGGUGACUCUCAGAUCCUGAAAGAAGCCAGUCCAAGAUCAGACUAUGAUUCUACUUCAUGUAUAAAGAUCAAAAAGGCAAAGCUAACCUAUGCCACGAGAAGCCAGUUAGUAGUUACUUUUGGAGGAGAAGUGAGGAAGGGAGCAUGGCAUGGCCGGCUCUGGGCUGCUGGUCCUGCUCUGCAUCUAGGUGAUGGUUAGUGUGUUUUCUUAGUGAAGAUUCAUCAUGCCUUAUGAUUAUUGUGCUCUUUUUCUGUAAGUAUGUGUGUUACACUUCCAUUAAAAAGUAAAAAAC